This 470-nucleotide ribosomal RNA is filed under the name uncultured bacterium. RNAcentral's name for it is "bacterial SSU rRNA". It matches the Rfam family "Bacterial small subunit ribosomal RNA", at positions 26 to 507 of the family's 1533-position model. The record is from RNAcentral.
CGAGGACGAACGCUGGCGGCGCGCCUAACACAUGCAAGUCGAACGAGAGAUGAAGAGCUUGCUCUUCAAAUCGAGUGGCGAACGGGUGAGUAACGCGUGAGGAACCUGCCUCAAAGAGGGGGACAACAGUUGGAAACGACUGCUAAUACCGCAUAAGCCCACGGCUCGGCAUCGAGCAGAGGGAAAAGGAGCAAUCCGCUUUGAGAUGGCCUCGCGUCCGAUUAGCUAGUUGGUGAGGUAACGGCCCACCAAGGCGACGAUCGGUAGCCGGACUGAGAGGUUGAACGGCCACAUUGGGACUGAGACACGGCCCAGACUCCUACGGGAGGCAGCAGUGGGGAAUAUUGCACAAUGGGGGGAACCCUGAUGCAGCGACGCCGCGUGGAGGAAGAAGGUCUUCGGAUUGUAAACUCCUGUUGUUGAGGAAGAUAAUGACGGUACUCAACAAGGAAGUGACGGCUAACUACGUG